CCUACGGGAGACAGCAGUGAGGAAUAUUGGUCAAUGGACGAGAGUCUGAACCAGCCAAGUAGCGUGAAGGAUGACUGCCCUAUGGGUUGUAAACUUCUUUUAUAUGGGAAUAAAAUGUUCCACGUGUGGGAUUUUGUAUGUACCAUAUGAAUAAGGAUCGGCUAACUCCGUGCCAGCAGCCGCGGUAAUACGGAGGAUACGAGCGUUAUCCGGAUUUAUUGGGUUUAAAGGGAGCGUAGGUGGAUUGUUAAGUCAGUUGUGAAAGUUUGCGGCUCAACCGUAAAAUUGCAGUUGAAACUGGCAGUCUUGAGUACAGUAGAGGUGGGCGGAAUUCGUGGUGUAGCGGUGAAAUGCUUAGAUAUCACGAAGAACUCCGAUUGCGAAGGCAGUUCACUGGACUGCAACUGACACUGAGGCUCGAAAGUGUGGGUAUCAAACAGGAUUAGAUACCCGAGUAGUC
This 460-nucleotide ribosomal RNA is filed under the name uncultured bacterium. RNAcentral's name for it is "partial 16S ribosomal RNA". It matches the Rfam family "Bacterial small subunit ribosomal RNA", at positions 338 to 795 of the family's 1533-position model. The record is from RNAcentral.